GACGAACGCUGGCGGCGUGCUUAACACAUGCAAGUCGAACGGAAAGGCCCUGCUUUUGUGGUGUGCUCGAGUGGCGAACGGGUGAGUAACACGUGAGUAACCUGCCCUUUACUUUGGGAUAACUUCAGGAAACUGGGGCUAAUACCGGAUAGGAGCUCCUGCUGCAUGGUGGGGGUUGGAAAGUUUCGGCGGUUGGGGAUGGACUCGCGGCUUAUCAGCUUGUUGGUGGGGUAGUGGCUUACCAAGGCUUUGACGGGUAGCCGGCCUGAGAGGGUGACCGGCCACAUUGGGACUGAGAUGCGGCCAAGACUCAUACGGGAGGAAGCAGUGGGGAAUAUUGCACAAUGGGCGGAAGCCGGAUGCAGCAACGCCGCGUGCGGGAUGACGGCCUUCGGGUUGUAAACCGCUUUAGCCUGUGACGAAGCGUGAGUGACGGUAAUGGGUAAAGAAGCACCGGCUAACUACGUG
RNAcentral lists this ribosomal RNA (468 nucleotides) under uncultured bacterium. Its description in RNAcentral is "partial 16S ribosomal RNA". It matches the Rfam family "Bacterial small subunit ribosomal RNA", at positions 28 to 507 of the family's 1533-position model. The record is from RNAcentral.